Pimephales promelas (fathead minnow) is the source of this 845-nucleotide non-coding RNA. The record is from RefSeq and is a predicted model, not a curated record. NCBI's taxonomy places the organism in Eukaryota, Metazoa, Chordata, Actinopteri, Cypriniformes, Leuciscidae.
UGUCUAAAGGCAUCAUUGUCAUUCUUCUCCGUACUGCGUGUAACAAAAGUCUAAAUGGUGAUAUUUCCUGUAGCUAUUCCCUGGGAUGUGCGUGCAGUGGCGAGCGCAGGUUGCAUAAAGCUUACUGUAGCCUAAUUGAUCUUUCACUUUGAGGUAAGACAAAUUAUUGGGGUCUUUCUUAAUUCUUGAAGGGGGAACUCUUUAGAAAUUGAUACACUAUUUUGUGCUGUUACUGUAUCAUUUCAGGUGUGGUCCAGAGCGCUAGCUGCUGUUUUCUUAGGGGUUCUAUACUCGUGGUGUCGCUGUUUGUCGGCUGGCUGUAGUGAUUGGACGUUUGCGGUUUCGAACCGCUGUAGUGACCGAGCUCUUCCACAGUCUCUGCCCUGACUGGUCUGUAUGAGGGUUGCUGAAUUAUUGGGCAUGCGUGUUUUAUAUGGACUAUUAAAGUGAACUAGAACAACGAGAAGUUUGGUCUGUAACAGCAGCCGGAACAAUUUUAAAGAUUAAUUGUGUUGAUGUAUUUUUCUUUCUUUUUUUCCUUUCUUUGAUCUUGAACACUGUAUUUGCCAGGUAUGUCCACAUGUGAAUGAUUUGACCUGUGAUAUGAGGCUUAGCUGAAGAGGAGAGUGUAUUUGCUUUUUUUUGUUUGGUUUCUUUUGAAUUGUUUAUCACUUGCUUUGAUUUUGUUCACUGAUUGUUGUGUGGUUUGUCUCUUCAGCUAUUGCGGAUUAAUUACGGUCUCUUAUUUGCUGUGGGUAUUUAAUUGGUAAUUGUGUAUGAGACCUAUUUUUAGAUGUUUUAAAAUUAAUGUCCCUCGUACAAAAUAAACUUUGUAUACUUUUGAA